CUGAGCUCACUUGCCGGCUUCUCCUCUGGAGGAGGGAUCCGGGAAGUAACUCAAUCCAGUCCUAGGCGGGCACAGCAAAGCAUAAUGGCAAGUCACAGAUUCAGACAUUCCUGGUCAAGCUGCUCUCCUUGGCAGCUCUCUCCUAAAGUGGCAACUCAGCAUCCAGGCUCCUUCUAUCCUGUGGCUCCACCAUCCCCUAGGCCCUCCUUGUCACCUCUCCUGGAUCCUCUGCAUUCAGCCAAAUGGCAGUCAAAGAAAGAGAUGAAAUGCCCUGUACCUGGAACAUAACCACCUCAGCCCAGAGGUGACACACAUCCCUUCUGCUUAAGAUCUCUUGAUGAGAACUAGUAGCAUGGUCCCUCUCACAUGUGCCGGAAGCUGAGAUGGGUUCUCAGGCUGGAAAGUUGCUUGCUAGCAGUAAUUCCAUCUCAGAAGGGAACAAGAAUUUUUGGUGUAGUUGGCUCUGACGAAACAGUACUUUGGAACAAUUAAGCAUGAAAAGUUCUGCCAUGAGAGACAGAGAAAGCAAAAGAAAUAUUGUCUUAUAAAUACUAUAUUCUGUAAAAUCUGGAAAAACAACCUGUUCCUGGGGAGAUUUGUCUAGAAUGAUCAACUGUACCCCCAAGGAUCCUCUGUAACCCUGCCAGGAUCUCCAUAGAGUUGCUCCCCUGGGUUACCAGGAAGUUGGAGCUAGAACCCAAGGGUACAAAUACAGAUGAGUGGGAGCAAGGGUGCCUGCCGACCAAGUGCCCUUCAAGACUGGCUCUCUUCAGACUGAAAGGAAGUCUUACUUGAUGGGAAAGGCAAAGAACCCCUCUCUGUCAUUCUUUGGAAACAAGACUGUCUUCUUUCAAGUAAAAAUUCUGUCCCUUCUCACACUUCCAGGCACAACAAGGUAUAAUGGCAGGUCACACAUACAAGUAAGCUCCCUGUGUCAGAAUUUCUGAGCUGAGAAAAAUGGAUGACUGACUGAAACCUUUGAUAUGAAAGGAAGAAGCGGUCUGAGGAAUCAGCUUGAGAGAAAAAGGAAGCCCUGACUUCCUCUGCAUGCCUUCACUGGUCCAGAAAGAAAUGGGUUUGGAGCCACUGAUAUCUACAUCUCUUCCUUUAAAAUAUGAGACCUAAACAUCAAAGGGUUCUCUGGUCUGAGGCAUGGGUUUGCACAUAGAGGUGAUGACUUAUCAAUAAUAUAUUUUAAAUUGAGUGCCAAUUAGGCUACAGGAAAUAAUAUAAUUAAAAUUUAGAGACAGCUCUAAAACUUGAUUGAAGACCUGGAACAGUCGGUUUGAAGUGAAGUGAAUAAUGCUUCACUCUUUUGCCAAAACACAGAUAUAAAUAUUACCCAAGCCUAAAAUCCUGCCCAAUCAGCUGCUUGUAUGGAGCUAUGGGAGAGAUGGAGGGGAAGAGGGGGAAGAGUUUGUUAGAAGGCUACAGAUAAGCCUUAUGCAAUGAACCAACUAACAAUGUGGGAAAUGGGCCUCCUAGAAAAGGUGGAUCCUAUGGAGUGAACUCUCUCCCUUCCCUGGAGCUACCAAGGAGAGGAAAAAAAGAGGGAAGGGCUAAACAGAUAUUGAUGUCACAGCAUCAUCACCCUUGAUGCUGACCACUAAACACUAACCUGUGGCUCCUAAAUUCUUUCUGCACAACUAUAAGACUAAUCCAAAAACCUAGGUGGGGGACUGGCCUGUAAGUAGGGGCUGAGUAGCUCUAGCUAUAAAGGAUUUACAAGUAGGGACUGGGUACACAUUACAUUAUCAUCAUCAGAGAAUGCAGUAUGAAGCAUCCUGUAUGGUUAGUGGAGUUUGAAUUAAGAUUAAAAAGGAUGUAAUUCUUAAUUCACAACUAAGAAAUUGACAUUGGGACAAUCCACAGAGGUCAUUCACAUUUCACCAGUUUUACAUGCACUCAUGUAUGUGUGUGUGUAGUGAUGUUCAGUUUUAUUGCAUGUGAGGCCAGGUGGUGGCUCAUGCCUAUAGUCCCAGCACUUUGGGAAGCUGAAGCAGGUGGAUCACUUGAGGCCAGCCUGGCCAACAUGGUGAAACCCCGUCUCUACUAAAAAUACAAAAAUUAGCUGGCUGAGGCACAAGAAUCACUUGAACCCAGGAAGUGGAGUGAGCCAAAAUCACGCCACUGCACUUCAUCCUGGGUGACAGAGCGAGACUCUGUCUCAAAAAAAAAAUUGCAUAUGUAAAUUGACGUGAUCACGAAUAUAAUCAAGAUACAGAACUGCUCCACCACCAUAAGGCUCUGUUAUUGCCCUUUAUAGCCAUCCCUACCCCAUCCCCCAUCUCUAACCCGUGGCAACCACUAAUCUGUUCUCCAUCUCUAUAAUUUUAUUUCAAGAAUAUUGUGUAAAUGGAAUCAUAUAGUAUGUGACCUUUUGAGAUUGGCCUUUUUCACUCAACAUAAUUUUUUUGAGAUCCAUCCAAGUUGUUGCAUGUAUCAAUUGUUUGUUCCUUUUUAUUGCUAUGUAGUACCCCAUGGUGUGGAUAUACUACAGUUUGUCCAUUCGUCUGCUGAAGAACAUUUUGGUUGUUUCCAGUUUGGGUCAUUUACAAAUAAAGCUACACUUAACAACAACAAUAACAAAAGGAUAUACUUCUUGUCUUCUAAACCAAUGAUUCAAACUUAGUGCAAAUAAGAAUCAUCUUGGGUAUGGGGAGGAGAAUGUAUUGAAAAGCUAAUUCCCAGGGCCCCAGCUAGAAAAGUACUCUGGGAUUGGACCAGAUGUCUGAAUUUCUAGUAAGCAUGACUAGGUAAUUCUCAAAUACAUGCUAGGGACAUAGUUGAAAACAACUACGGGCUAAGAGGCUAC
Molecule: long non-coding RNA, 2815 nt
Filed under: Homo sapiens (human)
Lineage: Eukaryota; Metazoa; Chordata; Mammalia; Primates; Hominidae
Description: HSALNT0016571
Source: RNAcentral